GUGCUCACUUCGGCAGCACGUAUACUAAAAUUGGAAUACAGAGAUUAGCACGGCCCCUGCGCAAGGAUGACCCGCAAAGUUGUGAAGCAUUCCAGAUUUGU
Delphinapterus leucas (beluga whale) is the source of this 101-nucleotide small nuclear RNA. The record is from Ensembl. Lineage: Eukaryota; Metazoa; Chordata; Mammalia; Artiodactyla; Monodontidae.